GAUGAAGAACGUAGCGAAAUGCGAUAAGUAGUGUGAAUUGCAGAAAUCAGUGAAUCAUCGAAUCUUUGAACGCACAUUGCGCCCCUUGGUAUUCCAUGGGGCAUGCCUGUUCGAGCGUCAUUUGUACCUUCAAGCUCUGCUUGGUGUUGGGUGUUUGUCUCGCCUCUGCGUGUAGACUCGCCUUAAAACAAUUGGCAGCCGGCGUAUUGAUUUCGGAGCGCAGUACAUCUCGCGCUUUGCACUCAUAACGACGACGUCCAAAAGUACAUUUUUACACUCUUGACCUCGGAUCAGGUAGGGAUACCCGCUGAACUUAAGCAUAUCAAUAAGCGGAGGA
Molecule: unclassified non-coding RNA, 337 nt
Filed under: soil metagenome
Description: partial contains 5.8S ribosomal RNA, internal transcribed spacer 2, and large subunit ribosomal RNA
Rfam family: 5.8S ribosomal RNA (bases 1-120)
Source: RNAcentral